This 460-nucleotide ribosomal RNA is filed under the name uncultured bacterium. RNAcentral's name for it is "partial 16S ribosomal RNA". It matches the Rfam family "Bacterial small subunit ribosomal RNA", at positions 338 to 795 of the family's 1533-position model. The record is from RNAcentral.
CCUACGGGCGGCAGCAGUGAGGAAUAUUGGUCAAUGGGCGCGAGCCUGAACCAGCCAAGUAGCGUGAAGGAUGACUGCCCUACGGGUUGUAAACUUCUUUUAUAAAGGAAUAAAGUGAGGCACGUGUGCCUUUUUGUAUGUACUUUAUGAAUAAGGAUCGGCUAACUCCGUGCCAGCAGCCGCGGUAAUACGGAGGAUCCGAGCGUUAUCCGGAUUUAUUGGGUUUAAAGGGAGCGUAGAUGGGUUGUUAAGUCAGUUGGGAAAGUUUGCGGCUCAACCGUAAAAUUGCAAUUGAUACUGGCAGCCUUGAGUACAGUUGGGGUAGGCGGAAUUCGUGGUGUAGCGGUGAAAUGCUUAGAUAUCACGAAGAACACCGAUUGCGAAGGCAGCUUACCAAGCUACUUCUGACGUUGAGGCACGAAAGCGUGGGGAGCAAACAGGAUUAGAUACCCGUGUAGUC